GAUGAACGCUGGCGGCGUGCCUAAUACAUGCAAGUCGAGCGAACAGAUAAGGAGCUUGCUCCUUUGACGUUAGCGGCGGACGGGUGAGUAACACGUGGGUAACCUACCUAUAAGACUGGAAUAACUCCGGGAAACCGGGGCUAAUGCCGGAUAACAUUUAGAACCGCAUGGUUCUAAAGUGAAAGAUGGUUUUGCUAUCACUUAUAGAUGGACCCGCGCCGUAUUAGCUAGUUGGUAAGGCAACGGCUUACCAAGGCAACGAUACGUAGCCGACCUGAGAGGGUGAUCGGCCACACUGGAACUGAGACACGGUCCAGACUCCUACGGGAGGCAGCAGUAGGGAAUCUUCCGCAAUGGGCGAAAGCCUGACGGAGCAACGCCGCGUGAGUGAUGAAGGUCUUCGGAUCGUAAAACUCUGUUAUUAGGGAAGAACAAAUGUGUAAGUAACUGUGCACGUCUUGACGGUACCUAAUCAGAAAGCCACGGCUAACUACGUG
RNAcentral lists this ribosomal RNA (497 nucleotides) under uncultured bacterium. RNAcentral's name for it is "partial 16S ribosomal RNA". It matches the Rfam family "Bacterial small subunit ribosomal RNA", at positions 28 to 507 of the family's 1533-position model. The record is from RNAcentral.